UACAGAGGGUGCGAGCGUUGUCCGGAAUCACUGGGCGUAAAGGGCGCGUAGGCGGCUUGAUAAGCGUGCGGUGAAAGCCCGGGGCUCAACCCCGGGUCGGCCGUGCGAACUGUCGAGCUGGAGCACUGUAGAGGCAGGUGGAAUUCCGGGUGUAGCGGUGGAAUGCGUAGAGAUCGGGAAGAAUACCAGUGGCGAAGGCGUUCUGCUGGGCCGUUGCUGACACUGAGGCGCGACAGCGUGGGGAGCAAACAGG
This 253-nucleotide ribosomal RNA is filed under the name uncultured bacterium. RNAcentral's name for it is "partial 16S ribosomal RNA". It matches the Rfam family "Bacterial small subunit ribosomal RNA", at positions 524 to 776 of the family's 1533-position model. The record is from RNAcentral.